CAGGUGCCGCUCUCGACCUGGAACCUAGCGUCGCUAGAGGGCUUUUCACUUCGUUGGUGUUGCAAACAACGAUGGAGAACAGUUUUGCAACUGAGUUCGUCGAAGAGUCGUGUGGAGAAACUUCGGGACUGAGAAAGCGUUAAUCACACUACGCCCGUAGAAGCCCUGUUUUUGCACCGAAGGACCCGGGUUCGAUUCCCGGCACCUCCACGA
Molecule: transfer-messenger RNA, 213 nt
Filed under: Actinomycetota bacterium
Lineage: Bacteria; Bacillati; Actinomycetota
Description: Actinobacteria bacterium partial transfer-messenger RNA
Rfam family: transfer-messenger RNA
About the family: Bacterial tmRNA, also known as 10Sa RNA or SsrA, is named for its dual tRNA and mRNA-like properties. Its role is to liberate the mRNA from a stalled ribosome.
Source: RNAcentral